RNAcentral lists this ribosomal RNA (2887 nucleotides) under Klebsiella pneumoniae. RNAcentral's name for it is "bacterial LSU rRNA". It matches the Rfam family "Bacterial large subunit ribosomal RNA". RNAcentral also lists the same sequence under 1 other name. Lineage: Bacteria; Pseudomonadati; Pseudomonadota; Gammaproteobacteria; Enterobacterales; Enterobacteriaceae. The record is from RNAcentral.
UUAAGCGACUAAGCGUACACGGUGGAUGCCCUGGCAGUCAGAGGCGAUGAAGGACGUGCUAAUCUGCGAAAAGCGUCGGUAAGGUGAUAUGAACCGUUAUAACCGGCGAUGUCCGAAUGGGGAAACCCAGUGCAAUUCGUUGCACUAUCGUUAACUGAAUACAUAGGUUAACGAGGCGAACCGGGGGAACUGAAACAUCUAAGUACCCCGAGGAAAAGAAAUCAACCGAGAUUCCCCCAGUAGCGGCGAGCGAACGGGGAGCAGCCCAGAGUCUGAAUCAGCUUGUGUGUUAGUGGAACGGUCUGGAAAGUCCGACGGUACAGGGUGAUAGUCCCGUACACCAAAAUGCACAGGUUGUGAACUCGAAGAGUAGGGCGGGACACGUGGUAUCCUGUCUGAAUAUGGGGGGACCAUCCUCCAAGGCUAAAUACUCCUGACUGACCGAUAGUGAACCAGUACCGUGAGGGAAAGGCGAAAAGAACCCCGGCGAGGGGAGUGAAAAAGAACCUGAAACCGUGUACGUACAAGCAGUGGGAGCACCUUCGGGUGUGACUGCGUACCUUUUGUAUAAUGGGUCAGCGACUUAUAUUCUGUAGCAAGGUUAACCGUAUAGGGGAGCCGCAGGGAAACCGAGUCUUAACUGGGCGUUAAGUUGCAGGGUAUAGACCCGAAACCCGGUGAUCUAGCCAUGGGCAGGUUGAAGGUUGGGUAACACUAACUGGAGGACCGAACCGACUAAUGUUGAAAAAUUAGCGGAUGACUUGUGGCUGGGGGUGAAAGGCCAAUCAAACCGGGAGAUAGCUGGUUCUCCCCGAAAGCUAUUUAGGUAGCGCCUCGUGAACUCAUCUUCGGGGGUAGAGCACUGUUUCGGCUAGGGGGUCAUCCCGACUUACCAACCCGAUGCAAACUACGAAUACCGAAGAAUGUUAUCACGGGAGACACACGGCGGGUGCUAACGUCCGUCGUGAAGAGGGAAACAACCCAGACCGCCAGCUAAGGUCCCAAAGUCAUGGUUAAGUGGGAAACGAUGUGGGAAGGCACAGACAGCCAGGAUGUUGGCUUAGAAGCAGCCAUCAUUUAAAGAAAGCGUAAUAGCUCACUGGUCGAGUCGGCCUGCGCGGAAGAUGUAACGGGGCUAAACCAUGCACCGAAGCUGCGGCAGCGACACNNNNNNNNNNNNNNNNNNNNNNNNNNNNNNNNNCCUGUGAGGGUUGCUGGAGGUAUCAGAAGUGCGAAUGCUGACAUAAGUAACGAUAAAGCGGGUGAAAAGCCCGCUCGCCGGAAGACCAAGGGUUCCUGUCCAACGUUAAUCGGGGCAGGGUGAGUCGACCCCUAAGGCGAGGCCGAAAGGCGUAGUCGAUGGGAAACAGGUUAAUAUUCCUGUACUUGGUGUUACUGCGAAGGGGGGACGGAGAAGGCUAUGUUAGCCGGGCGACGGUUGUCCCGGUUUAAGCAUGUAGGCUGGUUAUCCAGGCAAAUCCGGAUAAUCAAGGCUGAGGUGUGAUGACGAGGCACUACGGUGCUGAAGUAACAAAUGCCCUGCUUCCAGGAAAAGCCUCUAAGCAUCAGGUAACAUCAAAUCGUACCCCAAACCGACACAGGUGGUCAGGUAGAGAAUACCAAGGCGCUUGAGAGAACUCGGGUGAAGGAACUAGGCAAAAUGGUGCCGUAACUUCGGGAGAAGGCACGCUGGUGUGUAGGUGAAGUCCCUGCGGAUGGAGCUGAGACCAGUCGAAGAUACCAGCUGGCUGCAACUGUUUAUUAAAAACACAGCACUGUGCAAACACGAAAGUGGACGUAUACGGUGUGACGCCUGCCCGGUGCCGGAAGGUUAAUUGAUGGGGUUAUCCGUAAGGAGAAGCUCUUGAUCGAAGCCCCGGUAAACGGCGGCCGUAACUAUAACGGUCCUAAGGUAGCGAAAUUCCUUGUCGGGUAAGUUCCGACCUGCACGAAUGGCGUAAUGAUGGCCAGGCUGUCUCCACCCGAGACUCAGUGAAAUUGAACUCGCUGUGAAGAUGCAGUGUACCCGCGGCAAGACGGAAAGACCCCGUGAACCUUUACUAUAGCUUGACACUGAACAUUGAGCCUUGAUGUGUAGGAUAGGUGGGAGGCUUUGAAGCGUGGACGCCAGUCUGCGUGGAGCCAACCUUGAAAUACCACCCUUUAAUGUUUGAUGUUCUAACGUGGGCCCCUGACCGGGGUUGCGGACAGUGUCUGGUGGGUAGUUUGACUGGGGCGGUCUCCUCCCAAAGCGUAACGGAGGAGCACGAAGGUUAGCUAAUCCUGGUCGGACAUCAGGAGGUUAGUGCAAUGGCAUAAGCUAGCUUGACUGCGAGCGUGACGGCGCGAGCAGGUGCGAAAGCAGGUCAUAGUGAUCCGGUGGUUCUGAAUGGAAGGGCCAUCGCUCAACGGAUAAAAGGUACUCCGGGGAUAACAGGCUGAUACCGCCCAAGAGUUCAUAUCGACGGCGGUGUUUGGCACCUCGAUGUCGGCUCAUCACAUCCUGGGGCUGAAGUAGGUCCCAAGGGUAUGGCUGUUCGCCAUUUAAAGUGGUACGCGAGCUGGGUUUAGAACGUCGUGAGACAGUUCGGUCCCUAUCUGCCGUGGGCGCUGGAGAAUUGAGGGGGGCUGCUCCUAGUACGAGAGGACCGGAGUGGACGCAUCACUGGUGUUCGGGUUGUCAUGCCAAUGGCACUGCCCGGUAGCUAAAUGCGGAAGAGAUAAGUGCUGAAAGCAUCUAAGCACGAAACUUGCCCCGAGAUGAGUUCUCCCUGAGACUUUAAGUCUCCUGAAGGAACGUUGAAGACGACGACGUUGAUAGGCCGGGUGUGUAAGCGCAGCGAUGCGUUGAGCUAACCGGUACUAAUGAACCGUGAGGCUUAACCUU